AGUUGGAGUCAUCAGUUUUCUUCUCAGUUUUCAUUCCCUAGAAUGACAACAAAUUAAACUGCUAUAACAAUCACGAUCGGAAUGACAAACUCUAGAUGUUAGCAUCGAAGACUUAUGAAAGGGGAAGGACGAGAUGCGUGGAGAGGCCAUGAAGAGAAAACUAAGGACGAAGGAGAAGAAGUACGAAUUGUGGAAGCAGAGUUAAGCGGUUGCGGUGGUAGAAUUUGGCGUGAUUGAACGGCGACACAAUGAAGUUUCGACAAACAACGAAGCAUCGCGACUUCACUGAUUUGUAGUCUUUGCACUCUGCACAAUCAAACCCAAACCUGUGAUUGUCAAAGUGCUUCUUUUUUACCUUCGAAUUUGGGGAUUCUUUUUUAAUUUCUAUUUUUUUGUUUAACUUUGAGGUGAAGAUAUGGGUUAAUUUGGGCUUAAUUGUUUCUUGAUCGAACUACAAAAAUUAGGGUUUUGUUUUGAUUUAAGAUUUCGAAUGAUUUUCGAAGGGAGAUAUUAAUCACAGUUCAUCUUUGCGAUCUGUGCACUGCAAAUCCUUGGGAUCCUUGUCUUCUUCAAUGCAUCGUCGCGGCACACCUCUGUCACCUUCGCCAAAUCCAAACCUGCAAACCACAAAAUCAGAAAGAGCUCAUCCUAAACCCCAAUCACGAUAAACCCUAGUUCGCGAAACGGUCACCAUCCACCUUGCUGUCAGUCGCGAGCCUACAUGACCACCAUGCCGCAACAAGAACCAUGCCGCCACCCAAACACCAUUGAAGCCUCCAUGGAAACCCUGCAAAUAAAAAAAAAACACAGAGCCACCAGAGAGCUAUCUUCGCACCUUCAAAUAGCAAAAUGAGACACGCUUUGCAUCCACCGUUAGCUGCCAUGAAUGAAGGGGCGAAACCAUGAAUCGAAAAACAUCUACCCCAAUAUGCAGAAUAAGCAAUGGCGCAACGGAUAUAAACUAGACGAGGUUUCUUUGCUUCGUGAUUU
This 990-nucleotide long non-coding RNA is filed under the name Vigna radiata. RNAcentral's name for it is "long non-coding RNA (VRAD_LNC008495)". Lineage: Eukaryota; Viridiplantae; Streptophyta; Magnoliopsida; Fabales; Fabaceae. The record is from RNAcentral.